Long non-coding RNA from Oreochromis niloticus (Nile tilapia), 1009 nucleotides. RefSeq lists it as uncharacterized. The record is from RefSeq and is a predicted model, not a curated record. The transcript has 3 exons. Lineage: Eukaryota; Metazoa; Chordata; Actinopteri; Cichliformes; Cichlidae.
CAGCUCAGGGCAAAACUGGAGGAUAUGCAUACUUGAAGGUUUCCACAUAUAGAAACAUCAAGCCACUUUGUGGGUAAGCAUCAAGCCGAGAAUGCGAAAAAGUCCCGGAUGUGUUCUCGCGCCGCCCGUUUUAUCGAGCAUGCAUCGGUGGUGACUUGUGUGGACUUGGUACAGCUAAAUAUCCCAGAAUGCAUUUCGUCCAAAACUCAAACGCGCAAUGGCGGACGAGCAGGGCUAAGGGAAGCCCAAGAAGCAAAUAUCUGUGACAACCAUGAUGGGACCUACCUGGUGUUUUAACACCAGGUGACCAAAUACUUAUUUUCCACCAUAAUUUGCAAAUCAAUUCUUUAAAACUCAGACAAGUUAGAGGUAUACCUAUGAUGAAAAUUACAGGCCUCUCUCAUCUUUUUAAGUGGGAGAACUUGCACAAUUGGCUGACUAAAUACUUUUUUGCCCCACUGUAUUUGAUCCUGUCUCCCUCAAUACUAUUUAAUAUCUAAAUGCUUGAUUCAUCAUAUUAUAACAAAUGUGCUGUUGUAGCUACUGACAGUGAGUUUGAUUACAUUUUUUCCAUCUACCAAAGAGAAAUAAUAUCUCUUAGUGGCAGGUGGAUCACACGUUGAUUUUAACACUUUGCGUAUGACUGGGUAGGAUGAGCAUUUUAUAAGCGCUUGUGUGGUUUUUGUUUAUGUAAGGAAAUACAUCGGUUUCCCUUGUAUUUUAAAUUUGAGUGAAGAUCCUAAAUUGGCCCCCACUCUUGACUUUGAGAAAGGCUAAUCUGUGCUACCCCCACAUGAGCUCAGUGAGAUAUAAUACAGGCUUUCACUCAGGAGCAGGAAGGCUAAAGGCUGUUUAAUGUCUGAUCUAAGUGUGUCAGACAUUUGCGUUCUCACGUGCAUGGACAAUAUCUUGAAAACUUCCGAGCUGCAGUGCAUGUGUAAAAGUGGUUAGAAAGCAGUGCAUUAGCACGUGUUUUGUCUCUUUGCGUAGCUGCUCAGUCCAUCCAGAC